GUAUCAGAUUAGCUCCCGAGAGCCAGAAGCUGUUUGCCUUUCAGUGGGAAGAUCCGGAGUCAGGUAUCACUACUCAGUACACUUGGACCCGGCUUCCCCAAGGGUUCCAGAGCUCCCCCACCAUCUUCAGGGAGGCGUUGGCUACAGACCUCCAGAAGCUUCCCACCAGAGACCUAGGCUGCGUGUUGCUCCAGUACGUUGAUGACCUUUUGCUGAGACACCCCACGGCAGUCAGGUGCGCCAAGGGAACGGAUGCCCUACUCCAGCGCCUGGAGGACUGUGGGUAUAAGGUGUCCAAGAAAAAAGCUGAGAUCUGUCGACAGCAGGUACGUUACUUGGGAUUUACUAUCCGACACGGGGAAUGCAGCCUGGGAUCAGAAAGAAAGCAGGUCAUUUGCAAUCUACUGGAGCCUAAGAGCAGAAGGCAAGUGAGAGAAUUCUUAGGAGCUGUGGGGUUUUGUAGACUGUGGAUCCCAAACUUUGCAGUAUUAGCCAAGCCUUUGUAUGAGGUCACAAAGUGGGGGACCGGGAACCUUUUGAAUGGGGAUCUCAACAACAGCAAGCCUUUCAUGAGUUAAAGGAAAAAACUUAUGUCAGCCCCAGCCCUGGGGCUACCCGAUCUGACAAAGCCUUUUACAUUGUAUGUGUCAGAGAGAGAAAAGAUGGCAGUUGGAGUUUUCAUCCAAACUGUGGGGCCCUGGCCGAGGCCAGUGGCCUACCUCUCUAAACAACUAGAUGGGGUUCCUAAAGGAUGGCCCCUGUGUUUGAGGGCCUUGGCAGCAACUGCCCUGCUAGUACAAGAAGCAAAUAAGCUGACUCUUGGGCAAAACCUGAACAUAAAGGCUCCCCAUGCUGUGUUGACUUUAAUGAAUACUAAAGGACAUCAUUGGCUAACGAAUGCUAGACUCACCAAGUACCAAAGUUUGCUCUGUGAAAAUCUCCGUAUAACCAUUGAAGUUUGGAACACCCUAAACCCCACCACCUUGCUCCCAGUAUCAGAGAGCCCUGUCGGGCAUGAUUGUGUAGAAGUGUUUGACUCAGUUGACUCUAGUAGAUCUGACCUCCGGGACCAGCCUUGGGCAUCAGUAGACUGGGAACUACACGUGGACGGGAGCAGCUUCAUCAACCUACAAGGAGAGAGAUGUGCAGGGUAUGCAGUGGUAACCCUGUACACUGUUGUUGAAGCCAGAUCGUUGCCCCAGGGCACUUCAGCCCAGAAAGCUGAACCCAUUGCUUUAAUUUGGGCCUUAGAACUCCAUGAAGGUAAGACUGUAAACAUUGACACUGAUUCUCGGUAUGCCUUUUUAACCCUUCAAGUGCAUGGAGCAUUAUAGAAAGAAAACGGCCUAUGGAACUCUGGGGGAAAAGACAUAAAAUAUCAACAAGAAAUCUUGCAAUUAUUAGAAGCAGUAUGGAAACCCCACAAGGUGGCAGGUAUGCAUUGCAGAGGACAUCAGCGAGCUUCCACCUUGCUGGGUUUGGGGAAUUCCCGCGCUGACUCAGAGGCUCGAAAAGCAGCAUCUGCCCCCUUCCGGCAAUCAGUCACAGCCACUCUGCUCCCUCAAGCACCUGAUCUUGUACCUACUUAUUCUAAAGAAGAAAAGGACUUUCUCCAGGUAGAGGGAAGGACAAGUGAUGGAGGAAGGAUGGAUUCGGUUACCAGAUGGGAGAGUAGCUGUGCCACAGCUGCUAGGAGCUGCAGUUGUACUGGCUGUGCAUGAAACCACCCAUCUAGGUCAGAGUCACUGGAAAAGUUGUUAGGCUGGUAUUUCUACAUCUCGCAUUUGUCAGCCCUUGCCAAAACGGUGACACAGCGGUGUGUUACCUGCUGACAGCACAAUGCGAGGCAAGGUCCAGCCGUUCCGCCCGGCAUAAAAGCUUAUGGAGCAGCCCCCUUUGAAGAUCUCCAGGUAGACUUCACAGAGAUGCCAAAGUGUGGAGGUCAGAAGUAUUUACUAGUUCUUGGGUGUACCUGCUCUGGGUGGGUGGAGGCUUAUCCAACACGAACUAAGAAAGCUCGUGAAGUAACCCGUGUGUUUCUUCGAGAUCUGAUUCCUAGAUUUGGACUGCCCUUACGGAUCAGCUCAGAUAACGGGCCUGCGUUUGUGGCUGACUUGGUACAGAAGACGGCGAAGGUAUCGGGCAUCACAUGGAAACGGCAUGCCGCGUACCAGCCUCAGAGUUCCGGAAAGGCUGUAGAUAAAGGGGUUGAGCAUGGAGGUGACCACCGUGUACAUCACUGCAGCCACUGCACCCUUUCUGGGGGAAGAUGACACAUCUGAACUGAGGUACCCUCCAACACCUCUUCCAUAAAAUCAGCAAACAACUGACAGAGAUCAUGCAGCGGGAGCCCACGAUCGGUUUAAUCAUCACUCACUUCCAUUGGAUCAACUACAAAUCAACUCAGAUGAGAGUGCUGAGUCUCAGAGGAUGGACAUCUCACCCCUUGCCAUACAGAUAAGUAGAAAGGAUGGUAUUCAAAAUUAAUGGCCAGACUCUAAGUCCCAGAUACUAUACUUCAUGGUCUUCCAACUCUCAAAAAGUUGUGGGAGUUUUUUUUUGUUUUUGUUUUUGUUUUUUUGAGACGGAGUCUCAUUCUGUUGCCCAGGCUGGAAGUGCAGUGGAGUGAUCUCAGCUCAUUGCAACCUCCGCAUCCCAGGUUCAAGCUAUUCUCCUGCCUCAGCCUGCUGAGCAGCUGAGAUUACAGGCGCCCGCCACUAUGCCCGACUAAUUUUUUUCUAUUUUUAGUAGAGACGGGGUUUCACCAUGUUGGCCAGGCUGGUCUCGAACACCUGAACUUGUGAUUCGCCUGCCUCAGCCUCCCAAAGUGCUGGGAUUACAGGCGUGAGCCACCGCGCCCAGCUUCAAAAAGUUUAAAGCAGAGCUCAGAGGUCUUAACCACAGGUACAUCUGAGGAGCAUUUUUGAAACAGUUUCCAGCUUCCUCAACAGGAAGAGAAGCCAAAUUCCGAAUUUAUGACUCCUUUGAGGAAGUCGAGAGCUGUAAGGAAAGCCAGGAACAGGGGCAAGGGAGAGAUGCAUCCCGAAUGAUCCUGUGCCAAUUCUUUCUGGAAUCUUUGAUGUGAUCUCAGCUGCCCUUUCUAUACUUGACACAGUGAUUGUGGCACCCACUGGUCUAGCUGUGGUCUACAAGGAACCCCCAAAAGGAAGGGCACAGUGAGCAGGGGCAUCGGCCUGAGUGACAAGGAUUUGAGAGGGCAGGUUGGAUGCAGGGAGAGGACUGGCCAAAUGCCAUGUGUCUGGACUUAGGCUGCCUGGUUCAAACUGGACUUCACCCUUUUUGACUUCAUGAUCUGGUACAAGUUAUAUGAAAAUGCAUUGCUCCUUUUCUAGUCUGUAAAAUAAUAAUGAAAUGUGCACUAAUAACUGGGAGACUACGCAGAGGAAAUGAAACAAGCUGCAUAGACCACAGAGCUCAGAGCCUGGCCUUUAGGAAGCCCUCAGUAAGGGUUCAUGAUGCCAUGGUGUCUGUCAUCAUCCUCUUUAUCCUCAUCAUCACCUUCAUAAUCUUUUUAUUGUUCUUAGAGAAUAGUUUAGAGGGACUCAUUCCCUGCUAUCAUGGGUGAGAUGUCUAUGAAAAGGACAACCAGUGGGGGAGGAAAGCAAAAUUUUGAAUAAGAUUUCUGAGACCGCCCCCCCCCGACCAUAACCAAGAACAGAAACUCCACAGUCUGCUGAGCCGACAGUUUGCACGUUGGUCUCCUCCCAUCUGCCCACCGCACUCUCCUGUUUUUUUCCUGAGGAUGAGGAUACAAAACAAGGCUCCCAACCGUCCCUCAGCACUCACUGAACUGCCCUUCCCCUCUGCUGGGCCAUGACCACGGAGAACAAGUCCACUGUCCUCCCUGCGUGGUGCACGAUGGAGGCUCAGACUCCAUCCUCAAGGCUGGCAAGAAGACAGGGUGAGACAUGAGCCUCCUGAUACAGGUGAUGGGUGUGGAGCCCACAGGACUGGAACCUCACACUGCAGGGCUGGAGGCACAGACUAUUUACUAUUCUAUGGCCUGGGGGGCUCAAGGCACAGAGCUCCUCAUUAGCCAAAGUCGCCCAAGUUCCCCAACCUUUAAGGAUUUCCUCAUAAUAAUGCAAGAAGAAGAAGAGAAAAGUGAGUGUCCAUAGAAGCUUUGGGGCUCUUCCUCUAAUCAGGAGAAAGCUGGUGUGUAUUAUUCACUUCUUUCUUUUCUUUUUAAAGAUCCAACUGCUUUAAUUUUAAUCUUUCAUUAUGGGAAAAUAUACCACAUAUAAAUAUUAAAAAUUAUAAAUAUAUAUUAUUUCAUAUAGAAUGGCC
RNAcentral lists this long non-coding RNA (4308 nucleotides) under Homo sapiens (human). RNAcentral's name for it is "non-protein coding lnc-KRT80-2:7". Lineage: Eukaryota; Metazoa; Chordata; Mammalia; Primates; Hominidae. The record is from RNAcentral.